This 79-nucleotide vault RNA is filed under the name Salmo trutta (river trout). Its description in RNAcentral is "Vault RNA (ENSSTUG00000000471.1)". It matches the Rfam family "Vault RNA". From Rfam's summary of the family: This family of RNAs are found as part of the enigmatic vault ribonucleoprotein complex. The complex consists of a major vault protein (MVP), two minor vault proteins (VPARP and TEP1), and several small untranslated RNA molecules. The record is from Rfam by way of RNAcentral. Lineage: Eukaryota; Metazoa; Chordata; Actinopteri; Salmoniformes; Salmonidae.
AUGCCAGUUUAGCUGAGUGGUUUCUUCUUAUGGACAUACACCUUGAAGUAUCAAUCCGCAGGCGCUCUCUGGCGUUUUU